UGGCUUAGAGAUUAAGAGCACUG
Molecule: non-coding RNA, 23 nt
Filed under: Cricetulus griseus (Chinese hamster)
Lineage: Eukaryota; Metazoa; Chordata; Mammalia; Rodentia; Cricetidae
Source: RNAcentral